Molecule: long non-coding RNA, 5361 nt
Organism: Asparagus officinalis (garden asparagus)
Lineage: Eukaryota; Viridiplantae; Streptophyta; Magnoliopsida; Asparagales; Asparagaceae
Exons: 3
Source: RefSeq, a predicted model, not a curated record
UUCCGCGCGUGUUAAAUACAAAUUUCCACCCCAACUUUUAAAAAUCAAAAUUAUCAAAUUGACCACGUGGGCUUAAUCAACGAGGGGCUUAGCUAAAUGGGCGUUUUCCUGUCAAAUUCAUUAGAAAUUCCCAAUUCAACGCUCAUAGAGAAAAGAGGAAGCGUGGGGGAAAAAGUCAAAUUUUUUUCGUUUCUUCUCAAAAAUUUUCGUCUUUUCUCUCAGGCCAUGAUCUUAGAUGGUUUCUACUUGCAGAAAGAAUAGGGGAAGUUUUAGAUUGGCACUGAAAGAUGCAGAUAAGGUGUUCGAUGAUAUAUAUGCUGGAGUAGUGGAAACAAAGCAGAUGCGGGGUGGAUAUAGAGUUUGUUUCUAGAAGUCAUGAAUGUGUCAACAGGUCUAAGAGUAGUCAUGCUUUUUCCUAAACAUGAGUUUCUUUAGGGAGACGACAUGCGCAAAACCUUAUUAUGCUUUUGAUUCUUACAUAAAGGUUGUACAGAGUUGUCCUGGGAGUUGAGAUAUAGAGUUAUGUGGGAACUGCUUUUAAUAUAUAGCAUAUAAAUAUGAACUUUUAGUCAGUUUUGUCUAAAUUCAAGGAUGAUGUAUGUGCUUCUCAUUGUUUAAAUAAACCCGUUAUAUAACCCGUUUUGUAACUUAACGGUGCCAAGAAAACACGUUAUAUUGCGUUAAAUAUGCGUUACGUUAUAUAACCAAUUAACAAUUAACAUGAGGUUUUUAAGGUUAAAUUGCAUCUCUCAUUAGGACGCGUUGAUGCAUCUCCCACCGUCCAAAUCAUUUAAACUCUACCAUUGUAGUCCCGAUCACCCCAUUCUCUUUCUGCAAAUAUACGAUCUCUUCGCCUCUUCCAACCCAAACUCUAGCUUUUUGCCUCCUCUAAAACUCAUCCACCUAUCAGCGGCUUCUGUGAUUCUAAUAAGGUAAAUUUUUUAUUUUUCAGUUAUAUAUCAGGCAUCUCAGUGUAAAUCCUUUCAAUAAAUAGUGAUUCUGAAUUACCUUCCAAAUUCCAAUCUUUUUUAUUACCAAUUUACCAUUAGUCAUAUCAAAUCUGUUACUCCACUACUUUACCCUUCAAAAUAAUUUUUUAAAAUCUGUCACAAAAUUAGAAUACUGAGAUUAAUUUGUGGGUUAAUUGUGUUAGUUAGAUAAUUACUUUUAGUUAUUACUUGAUUUUGAUUAGGUCUUAGUUUUCAGUUAAUACUAGAGUUUGUGAAAUUAAGUUUGCACGCAAUCUCUGUGUAUACAAAAUUUCUUACUGUUGUUACAUAACUAUGUUUAGUUUGGUUGACAUAGUGAACUUGAUUAGGAAUUAUAAUAUUUUUGUGAAGUUAAGAACUUGAGAGUUGGAAGUGUUUAGACUUGUUUUUAUUGCCUUAAACUUGACGAUGUUAAUGUAUUUGAUCAUUUGAUGACGCUUUUUGGAACGGUUGUUACUGUCAUAUAUGACUAACUUUUGUUAAGAAAUUGUGAUGCUAUAGGUUUAUAUUUGAUAAUUGUGAUGUUAUGUUUGAAAAGUUUGGUUAUUCUAAAUAUUAAAGUUAUUAUGUAUUAUUAGUAUUUAUAAAAUAUCUAAAUAAUUAAUAAACAAUAUAACCUAAUUUAUGUGUUACGUUUUUUUCCUUAACCCUUAACACGAGGACAAGGGUUACAUAACCCAUUUUUUAUUUUCAACAUUGGUGUUCUUUCUUGAUGCGUGUGAAGUUUUAAACUUCAGUCAGGGAUAUGGACAAUCUAUCAAAAAAUAUGGUUAGAACAUUUCUACGGAAUGUGUUUAACUAACUAACUACUUUUUAGUCUAGCUUCUUUUGGCGUUGUUAUGAAUUAACUUUCAUCACUUUAUCACAUCAAUAAUUACAGUACUCUAACUCCGUACAAACUAUUACUUAAAACAAACAUAUUUGGUCUCCCAUCUGUUUUUUGGUGCCAUUCCCACACAAAUAUGGUUUUGCUAUGUACAUUAUUUGGUUUAAUCCCCCCCCCAAAAAAAAAAAAUUAAAAUAAAAAAUAAAAAAUAAAAAUAAAAAUAAAAAAUUCUCUAAAUAAAAAAGAAAAAAAAGCACUAGUCCAGGUUAAAUUCUUUGCACGUGUUCGAUUUAUUUAUUUUAUUGGUAUAUGUAAAAAUUUAAUUCUUGCACUGUAGAUUUGAAAUGUGGAGUUGUUGACAUAAUUUUUUGUCAAUUAUCUGCUGGAUGUUCAUUUUCCAUGUCCUUAAACUCAGAAUAGGCAUCUGUUCUCUUUUUCAACUCUGGUGAUCUCUCCAAGAUGUAUCAGAGGUAAACUAUCUUCCUUACUAAAUUCAAUCUCAUACUAAUAUGUUAGUCAAUGUACGGGUUGACAUGCCAUCAGUGCAAUGUGCUAAAGAACCUAAUUGCUAGUUUUUGGCUCCACAUUUCAUCUUUUUCAUUCCUAAGGCAGUCUUGAGUUCAGAUCACAAGUUUAGGACUAUUAAGCUAUAGGUAUGAAGUGUCUAGUUCAUUGACAUAACUCGGUCUAAAAUUAGAUUCUCUAGAUAACAGACUUACGACCCUGUCUGCAAUCUGUUGUAUAUGAGUAUUCUGCAUACUCAAGAUUCAUUAUGGACCUUUUUCUUUCGUGGGUUUGUUUUUUGGUGAGAAAAAAGGUGGGUGCGACCAUGCACUCCCCCCCACCCCCACCCCCACUUCUCUCUGUUUCAUUACUAAGAAUUUGACAAAACAUCAAUGGAAAAAAAAAGCCAAAGUACGCAAGGGUGACCAUUACAGAAGAUAAAUAUUAGGAGCCAAAGUACGCAAUACUCCUGAGACCCAAAAGGAAACUUUUAAAUGGAUAAUUAUAUUUAGUGUCUCUCCAUGACAUUGUCCUGCUACACCCCUUGCUCCAGGGAAAAUUAUUUUAGUCACUCCUAAUAGAUUAAAGUUGGAGGAACUAAUCUGCACGCUCCUGUCCCCUCCUGGAAGAAUAGACGACCAAUGUAUAUUGUUAUGAUACUUUAAUGAUAUGCGAGACAACAAAAGCAUUGAAUAUUGCUUUAUUAGUAUACUUCCCAAUUCCUCAAGGGACGUAACCUCACCCAAAUCCCAGAACAAUAUUUUAUUACUGUUAACAUUUUGAUUGUUCCCUCCCCAAGCAUUUCCUGGAUGGAAGCUUGUGGAAGCUUGUAGUGCAUGUAUCCUAAAAUGGAUCAACAACUUAUCCCAAGUUUUUUUACGGAUAAGACCAUUUCAGAAGGUGAUGAAUGAAUUUAUUGUUUCUCCUUCACUUCUAUACAACACGCAUAUGUUUGGUCCUUGCCAUUUAUGUUUUAGAUGGUUAUCCUCAGGAAGAAUGGCGUUUUUCAUUGUCAGCAGAUAAACGCUCUGAGUUUAAGAGGAACAGCAAGUCCAUAGAAGUGGAAGUUCCUCUUACAGCAAAGAAUCCUUUGUUACACUAAGUCCAUGGAGGUGUUGUCGUCUAAGGUAGAUAGUUCUGGCCGAAUCGAGUUUAAUUUGUUUAGAAACUUAUCUUUUUUAUUCCCUACAACUAUGUCAAAGUCAGUAGUGUCAAUAAUCCGUCUGCCUCUUUUUCGGAAAGAUGCUAUCUGUCCCUAUUUGCUAAGUCCUUGGGAGCAAACAAAAAAGAAUUUCUGUGAAAAAUACGUUUAAUCGCAACAUUUAUUCUGCAAGAAAUUAAUUGUAUCCCCAUACCCCACACAAAGGAAAUCAUUGACAUAAAUAAUCAUCGACUCUCGAAAAUCAUUUUCAUAGUAAGGAUGAAUUACAUUCAUUAUGAUCCUGUUGUUGAAGGUUGAACACCUUGAUUCCAGUCCAUUCCAACAACAGAUCUCCAAAUCAUACAAUAAACCAUACGUGGUGACCACUCUAAUUUUGAGUCACGUAUUGCAUUGAACAAAUUUGGGCAGGUUUGAGGUCAGUGGCGGAGACAUUCAUUGGCAAGAGGGGGCCAUGGUCACCCCCAACCAAUCUAAUUUUUCAAUAGGAAAUUUAUGUGGGCAGUUGGUUUUGUAUAGGCUAAUGUUUCAUUGACUAUUUCAAUUUGGUCCCUCUAUCAAACCAAGUCAAUUUGGCCCCUCCACUCCACCAUCAGGUUUGACAAAACCUUCACCCACCCAAGUCAAAUUAGAUUUAAUUUAAUAAACAAACAAAAAUAAAAAUUGAAGCUACCAUGCACUAGAAAAAACAAAGAAAAAAAAGUCUUCUCAAAUUUCCUUUCUGUACUCCUCUUUCACAAACUUUAAUCAAAACUACUCAUAAAUCUCUCAAUUCUUCUUUCCCCUUUCCAAUUUUCAUUUCUAUUUAACAAAUCUAACCUUAAUUGUCACUUACCUCAUUGACUUGGGUGUCCGAACGAUUUUUUUGUCGAAUCUUGAAAGCCUUUUUUGAUUAAGGUGAAGAAUCACUAUAUACCUUGUUUAAUAUACUUAUUUGUUCUAAUUUUUUAUUUAGUGGUAUUGUGUUAAAACAACUUUGCCAUUAGUAGCAAAUCUUAGUUUUUAUUGUUCUUUGUAUUUGUAGUAGAGCCAAAUUGAUAAUUUAUUAGCUUGUUGAAAAUUUUAAAUCUUACUUAUUCCCGUAUGUUAUUUUUCCCUCCUUUUGAUAUUAGUGCUUUAUGUAUUCUUGUUUUGAUGUAUAAAUUAUUACUAUUUAUUGAAAAUUAUUAUUUAUUUGCAAUUAAGGAGGUAAAUUUGUAAGAUUGUUAUUGUUAAUGUCAGCUUGUUGGCAUUAGCAAUUCAAUUUUUUUUCCUUUGUUUGAUGCAUUACCAAUUGAUUUAUUUAAUAUUUCUUUGAUGCAUUGCAAGUUUGCAACUAUAUAUUUGUAUUUUAACCAGUAGAUACUAUUUAAUAUAAUAUUUUAUUCCAUUCUGAUGUUUAUAUAUAUAUUGGCCUCCCGAACUAGGAAUCUUGGCUCCGCCACUGUUUGAGGUCCCUUAUGGCCCUUUGCCAAAUGAUUGGUUUGACCUCCUUAAAUUUUCACUCCAACUUAACCAUUGUCUUUAAUAUAGGGUAUCGGACAUCUUUUUACAAAUUAGCACUGCCAGUUGUUUUUUGAAAGCUUCAAUUGUGUUAACUCCUGAUUUCUGGUUAUGUUCUCUAGAAACGCACAGCACUAGUCUAUGAAUAAUGCUGGUUUUGGAUCUCAUUUAAACUGUUUCUUUGGAUAAUAUUUACUUAUGUCCCCUGUCUUAAGAGGAUAGACCAUACCCACAAUUUACUUCAAAAAAAAAGUAACAGAAAAAUAAAUAGAACUUCUGAUGCCUAGCUGUAUAUAAGGUGUUCUAAGCUUUAAUUCAAAUGUAUAUAGAGUUUGCCUUCUCAUCAGAAGCUUGAAUUUCUUUUGGAAACUUUAAAACCCUUCAACCUCCCAAUCAUACUU